UCUCAACAACGGAUAUCUUGGCUCCCGUAACGAUGAAGAACGCAGCGAAAUGCGAUACGUAGUGUGAAUUGCAGAAUUCCGUGAACCAUCGAAUCUUUGAACGCAAAUUGCGCUCGAGGCUUCGGCCAAGAGCAUGUCUGCCUCAGCGUCGGCUACUACCC
Molecule: ribosomal RNA, 161 nt
Filed under: Trebouxia arboricola
Lineage: Eukaryota; Viridiplantae; Chlorophyta; Trebouxiophyceae; Trebouxiales; Trebouxiaceae
Also listed under: 1 other name
Description: 5.8S ribosomal RNA
Rfam family: 5.8S ribosomal RNA
About the family: 5.8S ribosomal RNA (5.8S rRNA) is a component of the large subunit of the eukaryotic ribosome.
Source: RNAcentral